Molecule: ribosomal RNA, 497 nt
Filed under: uncultured bacterium
Lineage: Bacteria
Description: partial 16S ribosomal RNA
Rfam family: Bacterial small subunit ribosomal RNA
Source: RNAcentral
GAUGAACGCUGGCGGCGUGCCUAAUACAUGCAAGUCGAGCGAACGGACGAGAAGCUUGCUUCUCUGCUGUUAGCGGCGGACGGGCGAGUAACACGUGGAUAACCUACCUAUAAGACUGGGAUAACUUCGGGAAACCGGAGCUAAUACCGGAUAAUAUUUUGAACCGCAUGGUUCAAAAGUGAAAGACGGUCUUGCUGUCACUUAUAGCUGGAUCCGCGCUGCAUUAGCUAGUUGGUAAGGUAACGGCUUACCAAGGCAACGAUGCAUAGCCGACCUGAGAGGGUGAUCGGCCACACUGGAACUGAGACACGGUCCAGACUCCUACGGGAGGCAGCAGUAGGGAAUCUUCCGCAAUGGGCGAAAGCCUGACGGAGCAACACCGCGUGAGUGAUGAAGGUCUUCGGAUCGUAAAACUCUGUUAUUAGGAAAGAACAUAUGUGUAAGUAACUGUGCACAUCUUGACGGUACCUAAUCAGAAAGCCGCGGCUAACUACGUG